GGAGAUCACAUCUCGAGAGCCAGGCCUCCGGAAGAUCGCGUCCUACGUCUCUAUGGCCGACGACGACAUGGACCUGACGAGUCUCCUGGACCGGCCGCCCAGGCUGACGAUUGAGCGGCAGCGCUCGUUUAACGAGCGCUCUCUUAGCGAGCAGAGCUUGUUGAAUAUGCGGACGGUUGAUAGCUACGAGAGCUUGCAUUCGC
RNAcentral lists this unclassified non-coding RNA (203 nucleotides) under Hevea brasiliensis (rubber tree). Lineage: Eukaryota; Viridiplantae; Streptophyta; Magnoliopsida; Malpighiales; Euphorbiaceae. The record is from RNAcentral.